UGAACUAUGGAAGAACAGUGUUCUUAACUUCUGAGAUAUCUCUAGCCUAAACAUCAGAAGUUUCUAGAAGUACUUAAUAUGUAAAUAUUACUAUUUGUGAAAGUUUUAUAUUGAGAUUUCUCUAUGGCCCUGACUGUCCCUGAACUCUAUAGGCCAGAUUGGUUUCUAAGUCAGAUCUGCCUGCCUCUGCAUCCUGGAUGCGUAAGAUUGAAGGUGCAUGACCGCCUAGCAAAUUAUCUUGCAGUUUUUGUGUGCCUUUGGGGAUGGAUCUAGGCUUUUGGAGUAGACUCUUGUUUAUUAAAUUUACUGACUUGCUUCCUCAGCUAUCUUACAGUCUUGAGCCUAGUUGCCUGGGAGUGGUACCUCCCCAUAGUCUGCUGACUUUCGUAUGUCAGUUAACAGUGGAGACAUCCAGCAGGUUAAUCUGGUGGAAGUACUGCUUCCCCAAGUGUAAAUUUAGUAGGCAAGAGCCAGCCUGUGCACUUGGAAGUGUGCUGAAAACGUCAUUUAGGGCCAAGGGAUGGUUUUGUGGCUAAAGCUACAUCUCCCACGAAUAGUUUCCAUUAAGUAUGUAGAGUGCAUGGAUUAAAGUUAGUGCUUUAAAAAUUAAAAUUCACGAUUUGGUAACUAAGGCCUUUAAUCCCAGCAGAGGCAGGUGGGUCUCUAGUGUCAAGACCAGCUUGGUCUAGAUAGUUUACACCAGCCAGGACAGUCUCAGAAAACUAUUUGGGAAUAGGUACUUCAUUUAGAGACUUGGAUCUAAGGAUAGGCCAACCAGAUAGUAACUGAAUCAUUGAUUCUGUGAAU
This 807-nucleotide long non-coding RNA is filed under the name Rattus norvegicus (Norway rat). RNAcentral describes it as "long non-coding RNA NONRATT023029". The record is from RNAcentral. Lineage: Eukaryota; Metazoa; Chordata; Mammalia; Rodentia; Muridae.